This 337-nucleotide long non-coding RNA is filed under the name Nicotiana benthamiana. RNAcentral's name for it is "long non-coding RNA (NBEN_LNC039721)". The record is from RNAcentral. Lineage: Eukaryota; Viridiplantae; Streptophyta; Magnoliopsida; Solanales; Solanaceae.
GAAGGAUUCAGUUCACCAUGAUAUACUUUCUUUGAGUGGAGGUAUUCCAUACCCCUUGCAAUCUGAAGCAGUAAAUCAAUUGCAACUGGAAGAGAAAAUGGUACGCGCUUUCUUGGUCCACAGAUCUCUUUGAUGUAACUAGAUAAAUCUUUGUUCAUUAGUUCCAUGAUUAAGAAACAUUCUCUCUUUUCUUCAUCAGUGAAACCGCAGGAGAUGUGCAUUAUAUUUGGAUGCGAGAGACUCAGUUCUUUAGUGAUCUCUGGAAUCAGGGGCUUAAUAUCCCCAAACAAAUGCCUUAAACAGAAGGUUUCCCCCAACCAUUGGAUCUCCUUGUAUU